RNAcentral lists this ribosomal RNA (462 nucleotides) under Streptococcus mitis. RNAcentral's name for it is "bacterial SSU rRNA". It matches the Rfam family "Bacterial small subunit ribosomal RNA", at positions 28 to 474 of the family's 1533-position model. The record is from RNAcentral. Lineage: Bacteria; Bacillati; Bacillota; Bacilli; Lactobacillales; Streptococcaceae.
GACGAACGCUGGCGGCGUGCCUAAUACAUGCAAGUAGAACGCUGAAAGAGGAGCUUGCUUCUCUGGAUGAGUUGCGAACGGGUGAGUAACGCGUAGGUAACCUGCCUGGUAGCGGGGGAUAACUAUUGGAAACGAUAGCUAAUACCGCAUAAGAGUAGAUGUCGCAUGACAUUUGCUUAAAAGGUGCAAUUGCAUCACUACCAGAUGGACCUGCGUUGUAUUAGCUAGUUGGUGGGGUAACGGCUCACCAAGGCGACGAUACAUAGCCGACCUGAGAGGGUGAUCGGCCACACUGGGACUGAGACACGGCCCAGACUCCUACGGGAGGCAGCAGUAGGGAAUCUUCGGCAAUGGACGGAAGUCUGACCGAGCAACGCCGCGUGAGUGAAGAAGGUUUUCGGAUCGUAAAGCUCUGUUGUAAGAGAAGAACGAGUGUGAGAGUGGAAAGUUCACACUGUGACG